This 332-nucleotide ribosomal RNA is filed under the name uncultured Acidovorax sp. RNAcentral describes it as "bacterial SSU rRNA". It matches the Rfam family "Bacterial small subunit ribosomal RNA", at positions 1047 to 1374 of the family's 1533-position model. Lineage: Bacteria; Pseudomonadati; Pseudomonadota; Betaproteobacteria; Burkholderiales; Comamonadaceae. The record is from RNAcentral.
GGCUGUCGUCAGCUCGUGUCGUGAGAUGUUGGGUUAAGUCCCGCAACGAGCGCAACCCUUGUCAUUAGUUGCUACAUUCAGUUGGGCACUCUAAUGAGACUGCCGGUGACAACCGGAGAAGUGGGGAUGACGUCAAGUCCUCAUGGCCCUUAUAGGUGGGGCUACACACGUCAUACAAUGGAUGGUACAAAGGGUCGCCAACCCGCGAGGGGGAGCCAAUCCCAUAAAGCCAUUCGUAGUCCGGAUCGCAGUCUGCAACUCGACUGCGUGAAGCUGGAUUCGCUAGUAAUCGCGCAUCAGCCAUGGCCGCGGUCCGAAUACGUUCCGGCCUU